UAUUCAUCAACUCAGUUACUGAGGCAGAGACUAUUGUGUGAUAUUUAGACUUUGUUUGGUAUUGAGGUCUAUCUAACGCUAUUAGAUAAAAUGGAGUUGAGGAAAAAGCAUAUAAGAAUAUGCUUCUGUGUUUUCCGGUGGGACCGUAGAAAAUAUAUCGUAACCAACCCAUCGCGAUAUGCGGUACGCAAUAUUACGUACAGAAACAAACAUGGUAUUUUUCCAACGUACUUUCUCACCGCACGUAACGCAAUCUUCCCGCAAUCCCAAACGAAACCUUAAAAGUGUUUCACUUCACGUUUGUCACGUGUUUUUAUACAGUGAUGCUUUCUUUGCUGUAAAUAGUAUUUUUUAUGGGGAGCAACUCUCCAAAGUUAAUGUAAAAAUCGAAAAUUAAAUACCGAAGCUCAGAUAAAAAUCAAUGUAAUUUUGAGACCGUUUGAUUUUUUUUUUAGAAAUAAACUUAGGUGAAAAUAUAAAAUAAAUAUGUGUUAAAUUUGAAAACUCAGAUAUACUAAUCAUCAAAUUCUUACUCAACUACGUUAGAUACGAUUGCUAAAAAAUUAAAUUUUUUGCAUCCAUAAUUUAAUAGAUAUAACAUAUUUUACAUACAAAAUAAUUUUGAGUACUAAAUAUAGUAUACUAUACUAGAAAUUUACGUUAUACUACUCUUCUAUCAAAUAAUUUUGAAGUUCUUGAGUAAAUCAAACACUAAUUCACCCAACAAGGAUAUAUUUUUUUUCUUUCUAUUUAAAGCCUGAGGAAGUUUAUAUGAUAAGAAAUUACAAAUUGAAUAUGACAUAUGAGUAAGGAAUUUAAUUACUUUUUUUGAAUAAAUAGGAAGCAAAGGAUUAUUGGAAUAAGCCUUGUUAAAUAUAAGAAAUAUAUAAACAUCAUUCUCUACGAGGUUAAAUUUUUAGAGUACACGAUAUUUCACAUGAUGUCAGAUUCUGAGUUCGAGUCACACCAGGCUUCUAGUAUUAUUAAUUUUCUUUUAUUUAAUGCAAGUCUACGUUAUAGACCUUAUAAAAACUCAAGUCCGGAGGUGAAGAGGAUGAGAACAAGUAGAAAUAGUAAGAACUAAAAAGAGACCAGAUAAAAAAAGGGGUUAAUUUCAUUCAAGUUUCUGCAAACAUAGUGAAUGAUAAAUAUAUCCCUAUAAAAUUCAACUUUCAUAUGUUGUUCUUGCAAACGUUCUAAUAUUUUCAAAUAUGUUCCUCUGAUUUGUUACUGUUAGAGAACCGUUAGACAACUGUUUAUAUUUUUAAUUUUGUCAUCACAAAUAUGUCCCUUCAAAAACCACAACAGUAUAAUAUAAGAGGGGUAAAAAUAUCAAAAACUAACCAGAAUUAACUAUUUAAUAUAUGAUUAACUAAAUUUUUUUAAUAGAUUCUAACGACAGGCAUCAAGACUUUUGCAGAGACAAGAUAUAAUAUGUUGAACUUUGUAAAAAUAUAUUUGCCAUUUACUAUUUUUGUAGAGAUCUGUAUGAAAUUAAUCCUAAAAAAUACAUACAUUUGCAUAAUUACAACUGUGUUAUAAUUUUAACCAUUUAAUUCUGUGCACUUUGAACGGUGGAAACUGCAUAAAUAGACCUGACUGUAACAGUUAGAAUUAUGCUGAAGUCAACAGCAGUUCCAAAUACAAUAAUUGGAUAGAAUAAUUUUAAGCACGAGAUAAAAUAAUAGAAUUACCUAUUUAAUAUAGACAAUAUCUUUUCUUUAUAUUUUAAGGUACCAAAAUUUGAAACUACGCAAUUAAAUAAUUUUUUUUUCUAAUUGCAGAGCUUAAUUUCAACUAUAUAUGCAGUCAAAUAAGAUAUAUAUAUAUAUAUAUAUAUAUAAUUGAUGUAUUUUUAAUUAUAUUCAUAUCCAAGUGCAAUGCAUUGAUAAUUAUAUCGAGCCAAACAGUCCCUAAAGUAAAAUAAUUAUAAGAUGAAUAACUAAUACCAAAUUUUCUUCUAAAAAAUGAAAAUUCCAAAUUUUUUUUUUCAAAAUUGAUUUUAAAAAACACGAAACUAAUUGGUGUCUCCUUUUUGAUCUCCCAACCAAAAAAAAAAAAUACUUAAAAAGCUAUAAUUACAGCAACUUGGUGCAUCAUGAGUGCCACAUCAGCAAACUUAGGAAUCCAAAUUAACACAACAUAUAAAUAUAUAAUUUAUCAAAUUAAGAAUUUUUGAUAUUUCCAAAUUAAAAAUGAAUGGACACGCUCAAACGAAAACCAUUUUUGAGAUCGACUAUUAAACUCUAUAAUUUUUUAUUAAACAUUUUGAACUUUAUUUAUUUUAAUGUAGUUAUUUUGUCAGUUUAAUUUAAAGUUUUAUUACGUUUGCGAUUUUAUCAAAUUCAAACUCUGUUUGAGCAAACAUAAAAUGAAUUCCAAUUGAAAAUAAAUAAAAAGGUUAAAAUAAGGAGUAUUUUGUUUUAUUAAGGCCCGCUCAAUUUCUAAUUUUCUAAAAUUAAAUAAACUUUAUCAAAAAAUUAAAUUUUAUUAAAUUUAUUAAUAAUUUAAAAAAAUUUAAAAAUUUUAGUUGCUUUUAGCGAAUAAAACUAGACCACCUGACAAUUAAUAAAUAAAAAAAUUAUUAAUUAUGGUAAAAUUUUUAAAAUAACUCAAUAUGAAAACUCAAAUGAAAAAAUUAUAAAAGUUUUUGAUCUGAAAAAAUUAAAAAGUCACUAAAUAACUAAACUAGAUAUUUAAAUUAAAAUUUUUGUAAAUUUAGUAUUAAUUUUGUUAGCUCCAUUCAUUUUGGAUAAGAGUAGCAAAGAAAUAUUGAUUUUUGGAUUAGUAUGAAAAUUACACUAAUCUAUAGGUAUACAAGUAGCUAGCAUUGCUCUUAUCCAAAAUGAAUGGAGCUAACAAAAUUAAUACUAAAUUUACAAAAAUUUUAAUUUAAAUAUCUGAACAAAAGUUCUUAAAUAGAAAUCAUUCAAGAAAUUAAAAUGAAAAAGUUGAAAAAGUAUUUCAAACUAGUGUACAACGGAGGGUGUAUAUAUNUAAUAGUUGAGAUAAAUUUUGUAUAUUUUUAUCAAAAGUUUUGUUGGAAAAGUAAUCCAAACUUAUCAAAAGUUUUGUUUAUCAAUAGUAGGAUUUGUAAUUAUUUCAAAUAAUAGUUAAAAUUAAUUAGAUGAAUAAACUAUAGUAAAAAUAACUGCAUAAGACCGAGGGUAUGUGUCGCUCAGUGCUUUUUAUUAAUAAAAUAUUAGUUUAGCUUUUUUUUUAAUAUUUUCAUUUUCAUAUUAUUUUAUUUUAGAAUUUUAGAUCCUAAGUUAUAUAAUCAGUAUCGACACAAAUACCGAUUUCAAUAAUUGAUAUCAGAAAAAAUAAAAUUGGAACAAGUUUACUCAAAAAUAAUUAAAAAGAAAAGAAAAGAAAAUUAAAACCAGCUAAGAAUUUUCCACUGCAUCUCAUGACCUCGAAUAUAUACAAGCACACUAAACUCUCAAUCAGUUUAAUUACAGGAACAAUUUUAUUAUCAUUAUUAAUUAAAAUCAGCAAAAUAAAAAGAAAAAAAGAAAAAGAAAAAGAAAAAGAAAAACUACAUUUGAACCACUUGUGAAUUAUUAUUAUUAUUAUUUUUUGAAAAUUUGAAUUUAUCGACUGCGCAAGAAGAGAGCGGAGCACACCUCGUGGAACGCCUCGAGGAUGUCUCUGCGGAGCUCCCGCGCGUUCAUGGCGAUGUAGCAGUUCAAGAGGCUGCGGAGCUCGCGCGGCUCCCCCAUCAUCCCCUUCGCCGUGAUCACCUCCCACAUCGACCUCCUGAAGUCCCCGCGCGGGUCGUACGAGGCCUUGUCCAUGGCGAUCAACACCACGCACCGCCGCCCCCCGCCUCGCUCGGGCGCGGCGGCCUCGUCGAUGAGCCGCUCCAGCCGCGCCUGGACCACGCCGUGCGCGAGGCUCGCGAGGGCGCGGUCCGAGUCCGAGGAGGACGAGGAGGACGAGGACGAGGAGACGCUGGGGCGCGAGCCGCAGCACAGGGCGCGGCACCGCCGCGUCGACGGGUUCGUCGUCGUCGUCGUCGUCGUGGUUGGGUUCGGUAGGGUUUUCGUGCUCUUCUUCUUCUUCUUCCUCUUCCUCCUCAGCGUGAAAAUUUCCAUCUCACUGUGUUUCCCUCUCUCUCUUUCUCUCUCUUUUUCUUUUUUUUUUUUGGUUUUUUUUUAUAUUUUUAUUUUGGUUUUGUGAGGGUAAGGGGAGGUGUCGCAGGGAGUGCGCACCAUAUGCUCGACGAAAUGCUCGCGUGCAAAAGUGUGCUCUGCCGCAGCCUUUCGGUUUCAGGUACUUUUUAUUUUUUUUGAGGUCUAAUUGCUCGAUUAGUCCCUAACAUUUAUCCUUUUGACACUUCAUCCUAACCCCCUUCUCUUUGAUCUCUAAUUUUGACGAAACAAGUCACGCAACACUAAUAAAAUUUUUCAAUAGUUUCUGAUCAAUUUCGGCACUGAUUUUUUCAAAUUUUUAGUGAAUACUUAAAAAAGAGUCAUAGACAUCGUGGGCGAGCUCGAAAAUAUUGAAUUCCAUUUCGAUUUCAUAGUUUAAAAUAAGUAAAUCAAACAUAUCCUUACUUUUGAACCAAGCAUGUUCGUCUUAAAAAAAAGAUAUUACUAUAAUAUUUUUAAUUGGACUAAUUUGAAUUGAAGGAGAGAAAAUUCCUAUUUUAUUCCUAUUACUUUUUAUUGCAUAGAUAUCUCAAUAAUUUUACUUUUAAAUAUUAACAAGAAUAUAUCAGAUUUGUUAAACAUUAUGAUUAUAGUUAACAAAUUUAUUUAUCAAUAUAUUAAAAAUAAAUCUGAUAGUCACAAUGUGAUCAAGGCAUGGUCCUUUUGGGAUGAUUAUUGAUCAUGUUGUCUCCUUAGUAAAUUUUCUUGCGAUGGACCAUGACAUCAUGUAUGCUAGUUAGCAGAUAAUCCAAUAACUGGACCCGUAUCCGAUUUCAAAUCCGACCCGAAAUAUUAUGUUUGGGUUCAAUGGUUACAGCAUAGUAGAUGCUAUAUCUGUAGCAUCUACCUGUUGAAAUCCAAAAACUCGUCUUAAUCAUUUUACACUGGCAAAUUUAGUUACUACUUUUCAAAACAAAGGGACUUUUACAGUACUUUCCCGGAUCUGUUUUCAAAUCCUAUACAGACUCGGCCUGAACCCGACCCGUUAACUCUCCUGGGCCCUAUAUGAGAGGCUAGACCUACUCUUUUUAGGGUUAUGCAAGCAUGCUUAUCUUUGAGAAUAUCUUAUUAUCCUCAGUGGUUGGAAUAAAACUAUUCUUUGGAUAUCUUAUGUGACCCUUUUUUUGCCACAUACAAGAUUUUGCAUGUGAGGAUAUCUCCAUUGGGUGAGUUGCUUCUUUGUACAAUGCCACUUUGGAAUAAUCUUUGUUCCCAUCAUUUGAUUGUGUCGGAAUAACUAUGAUUGGGGCAAAGGGGACACAAGCUUUGUACCUUAGCUGGCUCACUUUGGAGUACUUAUUUACUUAUAUUUUUGGCUUUGGGAAUGGUCCCAUUGGGAUCUUAUGAUAUUGAUUUAUGAAUGGUGGUGAGCUCUUCAAGGUGUUGGUCAUUUUAAGAGAUAUUAAGUUUCACAUUUUUCUUUGUCUUCUUGAUGUUUGGCCUGAGGCAUGGAUUAAAAUAAUCGGUUAUUUAUGAUGUAGGAAAGUGAAGAUCAGAUAUUGUUAUUAACAUGUUUGGUUUAUGAUUGGAAUAAAAACGGAAAAAAAUAUUGGAUUGCAUUUGAGUCGAAAAAUGAAAUGACGAAUCAUCUAAAAAUAUUUGGUUUAUUAUUGAAACGGAAAUCAGAAUGGGCAUUAAAAUACCUAGGAUUUCAGAGGGCUUUGAUUAAGAGAGAGAAAAGUGAUAAAGGGAGAGGAAUGGGAGGUGUUUGCGAGAGAGGGUGGCAAGAUUGGGUCAAUGAAAUAUAGUCGGACCACCGCCAAUUUUUUUGGCCCUAAAUUUCAAGAUUGGCCCAGCCCAAGUAGGCAGGAGGGCCUAAACCGAUCCGCUUAAAAUUGGACUUGGUAAGCUAAGGUGAGCAAGUCGGGCUUUGAAAUACUCAGUGUCUUCGUGUGAUAGAUUUAUAGCAAAGUUUAAUGUAUCUGUUCUGUGAAUAAUGAUACUCCAAUGCUUGGCCGGUGAAUAGCAGUCGCAAUUGCUACGGUCGUACCGUAGCAAAAUCUACUGUGGGCUAGCCCGCCACGGAACUAGGUCAAACUUGCUCUUAGUACCUCACGGCCUAGCGGUUUAACUAGAAAAAGAAAACUCAGCAUCUUCAUAUGCCUUUGCCCUACCUUUUCUUAGCCCAGUAAAUUAAGUAGUGCACCAAUCGUCCCUAGCGCAAGUGGCAAAGAGUUUGAUGGUUGGUACCCAAGAUCCCAAGUUCGAAUCCUAGGUAAUUCAGCUUUUCAGCUAAGUUUAUUUUCUAAAAAUGAAAUAAACAAAGCGGGUAACAUGCUACCUAUCUCUCUCUCAAAAAAACUCAAAAAAAAAAGAAAGUAAAUUAAGUAGUUCUAAAACGGUCACUUAAUAUUCUUAUCGGAGUCAAAAACACGUUACCACUAAUGUAAUGAAUUAACAUCAUUUCAACGUUUUACAUAUAACAGAUGUUGCUUCUACAACCCAUUUUGGAUUGUGAUCUUCCAACUUUACCAUCUAAGGACUAAGUUGUCUCCACACUUGUAUAAUCACCUUUCUUUUACACUGAAAAUUAAAAAGAGUUGGCUGAGCUUUAGGAUGAUGAGUUGUAAGAUUCCCACCCUUGGUGGAUUGUAGAGUUAAUAUUUUAUCUUAUAUUUGCUUUAAAGUAUGAGGUUAAACAAUUGACUAGGCCAAAGCAUGAUGUAAGGAGAUCAAGUGAAAUGCAAACAACUCAAUGCUUUUACCUUUUUCUAUUGAUGAUUGUAGCUGAUGUGUCAAAACAUUACAACUACAUAAGCUGAAAAUAAAAUCAUGUAUUGAAAAAGCAUUGUCAUUUUUUAUUUCCUAUAAACCAAUUUAGCUUGGCCAGCUAAUUAACUUCCUACUCUGCAAGAGAGGCAUAUGGGGUUUUUGUCUCUGUCCAUAGUGUGAGGUAAUGUGGUGUGUAAAUUAUGCUUGAUGAAGCUCCUGGCUCAACAAGUGUUCUCUCAUUUGUAUAAUCAUAGCUAAAUUCUACUUUUAUUUGAAGGGAUUAGAAUUGCGUCUUUUGCUUGACAUUUGAAACAACUUCUCUGUUUCAGAAUGUACUUGUUAUAUAUUUGACGAAUAGGGUUUUUGGAGUGAUGAGACUCUAGCAAUAACUUUUCUAGAUCACGGAAACAAAAUGCUGCAAUUUAGAUUUUCUCUUUUUUUUUAGAGAGAAAGACAACAUGUUAUUUAUUUCGUUCCUUUUUUAGAAUUAAAUCCAAUUAGAAAUGUGAAGCAAUUAAGCUUCAAAGUCGGACCUUAAAUACCAAUUAUUAAGCUCUUAGCCAAUUAUACACUAGGCACGAUGGAUAGCAAUUUUGAAUUUCUAUUAUUGGACUGUUUGAUUCCACUUAGUUGCUAAAGUAGUACAAUUGUAACUACAUGAGUAUUCAAAUUAGAUAUUUGAUUUGAUAUAUUUGAAUUUAAUUAUUGCCCUUAGAACUAAAUGAGGAGACCCAACUGCAGUAGUUGUAAAGAGUAAUUUUAAAUAAAAAAUAAGCUUACCUCUCUAAUCACUUUUUCAAUAAAAUUUUUUUUUUCUAUAUUGAAGGUAAUCCCACCAUCACAUAUAUAAAUUGAUAAAUUUUUUAAAAUGCACUUUUCAACUGCAUACAAUCAAACAAUAUUUGCGUGAUUAUAAUAUUUUCUAUUACAUUGAACCAAAUAUAAUGCAUUGUGUUUUCAGCUGUAUACAUCUGUAACUAUAAUGUAUUUUUAAUUAAAUCAAAUCAAAUGUUCCCCCUAUGUUUAAGGACUUUUUGAGGAACUUACAUUAAUGAAAGGGAAUAAUUCCUUUUAAACAACAUUUUAGCUCCAUUUAAACCCACCAUGCCCCAAGUAAUUACCGACAUAGCAGUUGUUUAAAAAACUUUAAAUAUUACUCCAUUUCGAAAAUUUAAUGAAUUUUUUAAACUGAUCUAUUAGGUGUUCCUUAUCAAUCAGAUCCACUAAUUCUUACUAUAAAACUCUCAUUCUCUUGCAUCUGUACAAAAGACAAAGAGACAAUAGCAGAUGAAUCAAUCAGUAAUAGUUUGAUAAUUUGAUUUAUGUAGAGAUUUGGUAAGAUACUUAGGAUGAUUCAUCUAGCUGUUCCUGGACACGUGGCAAUCUUUGGCAUGUGAGGAGCGAACCGAACACGAGCGAGUUGGAGCUUAAUUGUGUUCGGCUCGUUUAAUAAACGAGCAAACUCAUUAAAAUAUCGAACUGAACAUAAGCUAGCUUACGAGCUGAUCAACGAACAAUAAAUUAAAUAAAUUAGAUUGAAUAAAUAUUAAAAAUAAAUUUGUAAAUUCUUGCCUAUUAGAUCAAAAUUAGACUUUGAUCUAAUGGCUGAAAUUUUAUAUAUAAAUAAAUUUUUUUAUAAUUGAGCUCGCUUUAUUUUUUUUUGCUAAAAAUUAAAUAAUAAAAAAAUAUAUAUAUUAUAUAUAUAAUUAUUUAUUUAUAAAUAUAAAAUUAUUACAUAGAUACUGGCUUCAAUUGAAAAAAAAAUAUUAAAUUAUUUAAUAUAAUUUAAGAAAAUUAAUUAAUUAAACUAAAAUUAAAAAGAACAUUUUUCUUAAAAUUAAGCUUCUCCUAAAGGCACCUCCUCCACCACACCAAGACAAAAUAAUAUUCCUCCCACUUUCCACCUAAAAUACGCCAUUCCGCACCUAAAAUAAAUAAAUUAAAAAAAAAACAUCCUAUAAUUCCAAUGUGUGUUAAUUCUCUCUCGUUACCACGAUUAUUGUCCCAACACAAUAAGAACCUGAGAAACAAAGAUUAAAGAAGAAGAAAAGGAAAGAAAAAAAAAAUUGUUUUGGUAUUGUAAAAGGAUAGAGAUGGCCAAAGAAGGCCGCGAAAUUGCGUCGUCGGCGGCAGCGGCGGUGGUGCCACUGCUUCGUCCACCACCGCAGAGGAAGGGCUCGUACGCACGGUGCCUCUCGCACGCCGGCGACGAGCUCAAGAGCUUCCGCACCUGCCUCCGGUGGAUGUGCGUCGACCACUCCGACACGCUCCGCUCCGCUGUCUCCUGGUAUCUUAUAUACGAUACGACACGAUACGACCGUUGUUCUCUAAAAAUUUAUUAGAAAAUAAAAAUUCAAUCAAACAGUGUAUAUUUAAAACUGCUUUCACCUUAUGUGUGUGAACUUCAAACUCUAGUGAUAGACCACUAACGGUAUUUUAAUAUUUUUAUAUAUUGAACAGGUCUAUGUUCUUUUUCCUCUCGGCGGCGGUCCCCGCCGCCGACCACCUCCUCCUAAUCCCCGCCUCCUCCCCUCGCCGCCGCUACGAUGCGGUGGUGCAGCUCUCCCUCUCCGCCGCCGCCGCCCUCGCCUACCUCUCCCUCUCCGGCUUCGUCCGCCGCCACGGCCUCCGCCGCCUCCUCCUCCUCGACCGCCUCCGCCGCGACAGCGACCGCGUCCGCCGCGGCUACGCCGGCCAGCUCGGCCGCUCCUUCCGCCUCCUCGCGGCCUUCGUCCUCCCCUGCUGCGCCGCCGAGGCUGCCUACAAGGCCUUCUGGUGGUGGCGGUGGCGCUCCGCCGCCGGAGGGCGGUGGCCGGCGAUCGGCGCCGCCGCCGCGGCGUGCGUUCUGGAGCUGGCGUCUUGGGCGUACCGCACCGCCAUCUUCUUCCUCGCCUGCGUGCUCUUCCGCCUCAUCUGCCACCUCCAGAUCCUCCGCAUGCACGACUUCGCCGCCGCCUUCCAGGCUGAGACCGACGUCGCCGCCGUGCUCAGGUGCGAAAAUGAAUAACUGUAACACCCCAAUAGUAUCACAUCAGAUAAAAAAGAAUCAAAAAACUCUAGUAAUAAUAACCGGGCUUAUUUAAUAUCAGGCAGCAUAUUCGCAUACGGCAGCAGCUCAGUGUGAUCAGCCACCGGUAUCGGGGUUUCAUCGUCUCCGCUCUGCUCCUUGUCACCGUGAGCCAGUUCGCCACUCUACUGCUUACCACGCGGCCUCAUGCUCAAGUGAACAUAUACACCGCCGGCGAGCUCGCCGUAAGUUUCGGUCUCUUCGUUGAGUUGCGCUAUUCGAAUAAGCAUCUAAUUUUCGUAUAACCUACUAGCACCGUAAAUUUGUGCUCGCCGAGAGAGCUCGAACCCGCUGAGAGUGAGCCUUGAAUCUUUAUUUAUUUUCUUUUAGUGCGCGCUUCAGUUGAAGCAGAUACACAAUGAAAUGACUUUCCUUUUUCUUUCUGUUGUGCAGUUGUGCUCGCUGGGGCUGGUGAUGGGGAUGCUGAUGUGCCUGCGGAGCGCGGCGAAGAUCACGCACAAGACGCAGGCGAUCACAAGCCACGCCGCGGCGUGGCACGCCUGCGCCACCAUCGACCCCUCCGACGCCGCCGACGACCCGGAGACCCACGCGAGAACCAACUGCGAAGAGGGGGACGGUUCUGAUUCCGACGACGAGGACGACGAGGAGGAGGAGGAGGAGGAGAGGGACGAGGAUGAUUUGGACGACGCAAAGCUCAUGCCUACUAGUUAUGCUAUUGCCAGCACGGUCUCGUUCCAAAAGCGACAGGCGCUUGGUGAGCACUGCGUCUCAGAACUCGGAUUAAAUUUCGCGUCGUCGGUAACGUCCGACUAAGUUCUGCUUCUGCUUGCAGCAACAGAAAUGUUAUCCGUCUGCGAAACAGGAAAAUGUAGAGCCUUGCAGCAGAAAAGCAGAACUGUUGCCUGAAGCCAAAUUUGGCAACUAGUUCAGAGAGCAAUGCAGUUCUCUCAUCUGCAUGCCAUGCGAGAUGAAACAGAACUAACACUUCUUGUUUGUGAAAUCAUCUUGAAAAACUGCAGUGACAUACUUGGAGAACAACAGAGCAGGGAUCACCGUGUUCGGAUUCGUGGUCGACAGGACGUGGCUCCACGCCUUGUUCAUGAUCGAGUUCUCUCUCGUUACGUGGCUCCUCGGCAAAACCAUCGGAAUCUCUUAGAAGUGAUCGAUCAGUUCACUGGCUCGAAUCGUAAUAGUGACCGGUUGAACUGCGAAGAGCUCUUCCUGCAGAAUUUUUGUUCACUUCCUUUUGGUGUCAUCCUAAUCUUGUUCUUUUAUUCAUCAGAAAAUUUGCAUGCUUGUGAUUUACAGCUAUACUGCUUCGAAGUAGCCCGUAUUUUUGCUGAUACAUCCAAUGUUUAUAUCUUCAGAAAUAGUUUAUAUUUGCGCAUUUGCACCUUCCAUUGUGUCAGAUUUUUGGAAUGAAUAGCCACAACAGAAGGGCACACCCAUAGAUAUAAGUUAUUUCUAAAGAUAUGUGAAUAAAUAGAAUUUUUAAAAGCUGUAAAUACACAAAAUUGGGCUAUUUCCAUUGGUACAUUCAUGAAUCAAAAAAAUGUAUAUGACUUAAUUCUAUGCUUAUGGUAAUACUGCAACAAUGCAGAGUGUAAGGGGGGUUAAAAGACAAUGUAUAUUUAAUCCUCGUUCAGAAUUCAAACUGCAACAUGAGGAUGAAUUGUUCAUGAUUCUAAGUUUUCCAAAAAAAAAAAAAAAUACCACUUCAAAAAAACAAAAACAAAAACACUGAUAAGCCACGCGAAGCAGAAAAAAGAGAUAUUAAGCACGAGAAAAUAGGGGGGGUUAAAAAGAACUUUCUGAUUCACCCUUCAACACAUCUUGAUCAAUCAGUCACUAAAUGCAGAAAAUUGUAAAAAAAAAAUCAUUAUGCAUCCUUUGACAUAUUCUCCUUAUUCCUCUAUUCUCAACUCUUAACCUAAGAUCUAUAAGAAUCUCGGGCCCGCUCUGGCAUGCCACGCCUAAACGACACCAGCCCCAAACGCAUCCCUGCUGGCGACGACCUAGGCGGCGUCCGAUGCCCCAGAUGCACCCGUCCGACCUGCGACCGGAAGUAAGCCAAUCUCCUCCUAUCGAAGCUGUAUGGCCUAUACCCAUGUCUUCUAUAGUCCCUUCCAUCGACCACGUAAUCCCCCAGCACCACCGCUCCCGGCAUCAACGAGCUGAUUGUACUGAUCACAUCCUGCUGCUCACUUUCGUCCUCCAGCUGCUUCCACUUCUGCUCGAGCACGGGGUCCACUGCACGAGGCUUCGCUUUGGGGUGCUCGGACCGAACGUGCUUGCACAUCGCCUUAAACGUCCCGGAAAACGAGCAACCAUCCUGCAUGCAGCUUCUCUUCUUACGGUUCAGGUACUGCCUGACGGGCUCCACUACUGUCCAUCCUUUAAGCUGGCUGCGGCAGAGAGGGCACGCAAGUUCAGUCGCCCCCUCCAACUCGUCGCCAGUUGCUUUUGUGCGGACCUUCGUGAACUGUUCAAAGCAGUUGGAGUGGCGGCGGCCGGUCCCGCACAUGAAAGGGCGGCAGCCUUUGUCGUAGGAGGAACAGAGGAGGAGGACGGCAUUGUGCGGAUGCUCCAAGCAUACCGGGCACGUUUCAUCUUUCCGGUCCCCCUCAGCCACACCCAAAGGCACUUUCUUGCGUUUAGCUUUCCUCUUCAUGCCGUUCCAAUUAGAGGAACUAACACGAAGAGCGGACGUCGGCUGACAAGUCGCAGGCCUGGAAUCCACUCUAGUUCUUGUCAUGAUGUCUUUGAAGCCUGAGAAGAAAUAUUAUAGCCAAUUCGAAAGUUCAAUUCAACAAAGCUAUAGAGAGAGAGAGAGAGAGAGAGAGAGAGAGAGAGAAAGAGUUGACAGAUGAAUGAAAAUAUUAUCGGAAUUAUUCAAAUCUCAAUACUUGCUAUGAUAAAUGAUUUUAGGCAUCUACAUUGAAGAUCCAUAAUGUUGAAUGAUAUCAAGACACAGUGAAAUGCUAGAAAACCAAAAGCAAUAAUUUCCAGACCUACCGACCGUCCCUAGAGCAAGUGGCAAAGGGCUUGGUGGUUGGUACCCGAGACCCAAGUUCGAAUCCUAGUUGAUUCACAUUUCUAGCUAAAUUUAUUUCUAAAUAAAAUAAACGAAGCGGGUAGCAUGCUACCUAUCUCUAAAAAAAAAAUAAUAAUAAUAAUAAUAAUAAUAAUAAUAAUAAUUUCCAGACCUACCGACUGCACCUUGGUUAAAAGCUUGAUGGUUGGUAUCCAAGCUCCCAAGUUUGAAGCUAAUUAUUUUACAUUUCGAGUUGAGUUUAUUUUUUAAAAAAUAAACAAAACAAAUAGCUUAUCUCUCUCUCUCUCUCUCUCUCUCUCAAAAAAAAAAAAAAAAAAAAAAAAAAAAAACUGGGACCUUUCUCAUCUUAAGAUCAUAUGCUCUCAAAUUGGCACUACUGAAAAUUGACACAUGCAGAUACAAAAGAUUGAUUGUUUAGAAUAGUGUCUAAUCUAGUUGAACAUAUCUAUUGCAGAAUAAGCUACAAAUAAAACGAUACUAUAUUUUCAUAUGCCCACACAACUUUUAAUGUUCAUUUUGUAGCAAACAAAAUGACAUUAUAUGAAAAUUUUCUUUUUUGUUAUGUACACUAACAUUGAUUUCACAAUAGAAUAAGCUUAUCUCUACAUCAUGUACAUAAAUGAGUAUAUUUGUAUGUGUCAUGAUGUCAUCUACAGCUUUCUUCUUGGACUAAGGGUAGCAGAUGUUUAUGUAGGGGGGAAAUAAGAGAAAAGGGUUGCUCUUUCACAGAGCUUACCUUGCAAUCUAUGUAAAGAGACAUAAUUGUAGCACUCAUCAACAAACAAAAGAUAAUAAACAGAGAGUACAAAAGAUGGACAAAAUUAAAGAAUUUUAAUGAUUUCAAAAUUAAACAUGUAAUAAAAGUAAGAUCCUACAAUUUGAUUAUGUGAAUCUGUGAAUUGCUAACGGACAUUAUCAAGUUAUUAUUUAGCUGGACAGAAUCAGCUAGACUUGAGCAGAGUGUGCGAAAAGACUUACUAAGAUUUAUUGAAAGAAAGGUUUUCUUCGGCAUUUCUCCCAAUCAACUAGCGUAUGAGGCUAUAACUUAGGAGGUUUUUAUAAUGCCUUUCAAAUAACAUUAAAAUGAGAGCCAAAGCUCUAAACUUAUAUAAAAAGUAAUGCUCAUAACACUUGAGGUGCGAUAAAUAGAAGCGCCUAAGGGAUCACAAUAGUAGAUAAUCAAAGCAUGCAAAAUAAAUUGGGAAACAAAAAAAAAUCUAAAAUCUAAUCCUCAAUUUCUAAUAAACCAACAAGUCACCGAUCAGUAUACAAGCAGGAUUACAACUAAUUACAGAAAUAUAGUAGACAAGCAUCAACAGGGCACAAAAAUACACUCUCUAAUUCCGAAAUCCAUAAUGGCAACACUAAAUGUGCCGAAUCAUAUUACGGACAACAUUUUGAAUCUACUGCGGGAAUUAUCCCCUGUUCUACAAUCCUAGAAUUUUCUACUUGCACUUAUUAAAAAAAACUAAUUUAUUUCCACCCUUAACUAACCACCUAAAUUACGAACUUUUCCAAAUCUGAUAAAUAGCAUCAACCAAAAAAAAAAAAAAUCUAAAGAACCAAAACCAACUUCUCAGAUAAGCUAAGUUUACAAAAUUGUAGUUUUAGGCUUUUAGGGUCUAUUUUACCACUCGCGCUACAGCGGGCAGCAAAUCCCCAACUUGCGCUACAGCAGGAAGCAAAAAAUAAGAUUUUUAGCCUCAAAAGCAGAAGCUCCAAUUCGCUUCUUCUGAUUCUGAUGUAGAAAAAAAAAUGUCUAGCAUAAAUUAAUAUAGUGCUUUUCCUAAUAACACCACAAAAAUACUACUUUAUCAAACAACACUAUCCUAUACAUCAAUAUCCAAGUUCCAAUAACACAAUAUUAUAACAAUAAGUAAAUCAUAGAGGCCCACGUACCCUUACAACAUAAGUAUUCCUACAUCUACAUCUAAAAUUCCUAGCCCCUGAUUAUGCCAAAACAAAAGUAGAAAACAAAAUGAAAGAAAAAAAUGAAAAAAAAAAAAAAAACCAAAAAGAUGGGAUUGUUAACUAGGUCUCGAUGGCCCUAAUUACUUGUAAUCAUGAUACAAAAAAUAUAAAUAUGGAGAAUGUGGAUUGAGAGGCGUACCUGUUCGAACGAAGCAGGAUCGGAGGGAUCGCCUAGGGUUUGCGAGUUCGAGCGCGGGGAAGCGAAUUUUCGGGAGGAAUCGGGUCCAAAUUUAUUUAUAUACGGAUUGGGUCGGGUUGGGUAGGGUCGGGUCGGGUCGGGUCGUAACUCGAACUGGUAGUAUCACCCCGGUUAGUGUAAUGGAUUAAAUAUUAAAAAAAAAACAGAACGAAAAUGUACUUAAAAAAAAAAAAAAGGCUUUCUCAUUACAAAUUUAGACUUAGAUUGGUAUUGAGAUUUGAGACCCAUCUGACGCUAUUAAAUAAAAUGGAAUUGGAAUAAAAGCAUAUAAAGAUAUAUUUCUGUGUUCUCGGGUGGAGCCCACAGAAAAUUUAUCAUAAGCGACUAAUUGCGAUAUGCGGAACGCAAUUUACGUACGAAAGCAAACAAAGUAUUUUUCUAUUAUAUUUUUUCAUUACACGUAAUGUAAUCUCUCCGCAAUCUCAAUCAUUCUGUAAAUUAUUUAUAUUAAUAUUUAAAUUUUGCCGUAUACAAUCUAAAUUUAUUAAUUUAAUUUUAUAAUUAUUAAAUUCUAUAAUUUAGACUUAUUCAAUUUACUUUAAUCUGGAAUGCAUGAAAUUUUUGUUCAGUAUAUUUUUUAAUUUAUUUUAAAUUUAUAUAUUUGGUAAAUAAAAAUUAUGAUCAAAAUUUUAAAAUAAAAUAUUAUAUUUAGUAUUUAAGUUAUAUUUUUAAAAUAAAAUAAAUUAUCUUAUAAAUAAAAUACACUAUUAUAUCAAAUCGUGAGGUGCAAAAUUUUUGAAGAAACAAAAAUCAAACUUUUUUAGUUAUAAUUAUAGUUAAAAAGUUUUAAAUCCAAUAAAUUAUCUAUGAAUAAAUAUUUCAACAUUCAAAAAAUAAUACUAUAAUAACUGUAAACUUACAAUCAUGAUCAAAUUAUUUUUGGGAAAAAUGUGUUGAAUUUGUUGUGAAAAAUUGGAAGGUUAUUCGUAUAUUAUUCCUCUCAAUUUUGUUGGAGGCAACGCGUCUCUUUCCCUUUCCCUUCCAAAUAAUUUACCCCCCCAAAAUUCCCCGUUUUAAAAAUUUAAAUUUUUACUCAUAUAUAUCUUUUUUUAUAUUUUAUAAUAAUAUAAAUAUGAAUUAGUUUCAAGUUAAUGCGUCGCCUUUCCCACUCACUCUCGUCUCUUCUCCUCUCCUCUCCUCUUUUCCCCAUUCCCAUGGAAUUUCCACUCUCGCGAACCCUAGCCCCAUGCUCCACCCAUUCCUCCUCCAAAUCCCACAACCCUAGAGAAUCUACGGCGGCGGAGGAGGCUCCGGCCCCGGCGGCGGCGGAGGAGGAGGAGGAGGAGGAGGAGGAGGGGGAUUCCAUCUGCGGCGGUGGCGAUACUACUGCCACCGCCGAGGCGGCGCCGCCCCUCCGGAGGAGCUCAGGCGAUGCGAUCGCCAAGGCCGAGAUUCGGCGGACCGGCGCGGCGUCUCCUUCCGCUUCCUCUUCUGCGUCCUCCUCCUCCUCCUCCUCCUCUCGUCGGUCGCCGCCGCCUCGCCGGAGAGGAGUGCGGCUGAGGCGGCGCCGUCGCGCCCUGUGGGUGGCUCGUGGCGGCGCCGCAUCCGAUUAUGGGCUCGGGGAUCUCGCCCUUCCGCUUGGGAUGUCCUUCGCCGCCGUUAUCGCCCAGGUAGACGAUGCUCGCUUAGCUAAUCACAUUUUUUGGCGCAAAAUGUGAAAUUGAAAUAACUAUGACUCGGAAAAUUCUUUUUUUUUUUUUAUUAGCUAGGGCCAUUUUGAUUGCAAAUAUAGCUCAAUUCCUCCAGAUGGAUAUAAUUACUAUAAAAAGGAAAACUGCAUUAAAUUUGAUCUAUUUGGCACUUCUACUUAUUUAUAAGUCAUCUUUUAAGGCUUUGCAUCCAUCACUGGAUCAUUACAAUUUUAUAAGAACAUGCAAAAUACUCUUUUUGAAUCAUGUCUAUAAUUUUAAGGUCAAUGAUUCCUUCGAUUGUCGCAGGGGUUCAGAAUAUGAAGGUUACCUAGUUUGAUAAUAAAUGAUGCUUAUUUCAUACUGUAACCUAUACCUAAACAGCUGAAACUGUAAUAAUAGUGUAUUUUACGUUAGUCCCACUUGGUUAAGUAAUGGAUCAAACUACUUAUAGAAAAAGAAUCUCUGUUUCCUUGAAAAAGGUUUCUGCGUAUAGCAUGAAGUGAAGAAUAACUUAUUCUGAUAUGAAUGCUUCCGGAAAAAGUCUCCACUUUUACUUCUAAAAAUGGUUUUUUUUAAAUUUUUUUUAAUAUCUGUAUAGAUUGAUGACCCCAUAAGUUACAUUGUCCUCAGUUUAUGUGUUCUUCCAGUGAUCAGGCUUAAAAAUCCAUCGGCAAAGUUCCUGCCUAUUGUAGAGGAAGCACCUUUUCAUUUUGUGUAUAAUCUGUGAGUGAUGGAUUGAUGCCUGGAAAUAAGAAAAGGAAAAUUGGAGAUCACAUAUU
This 17529-nucleotide long non-coding RNA is filed under the name Ananas comosus (pineapple). Its description in RNAcentral is "long non-coding RNA (ACOM_LNC029835)". Lineage: Eukaryota; Viridiplantae; Streptophyta; Magnoliopsida; Poales; Bromeliaceae. The record is from RNAcentral.